GAUGAACGCUAGCUACAGGCUUAACACAUGCAAGUCGAGGGGCAGCAUGGUCUUAGCUUGCUAAGGCCGAUGGCGACCGGCGCACGGGUGAGUAACACGUAUCCAACCUGCCGUCUACUCUUGGACAGCCUUCUGAAAGGAAGAUUAAUACAAGAUGGCAUCAUGAGUCCACAUGUUCACAUGAUUAAAGGUAUUCCGGUAGACGAUGGGGAUGCGUUCCAUUAGAUAGUAGGCGGGGUAACGGCCCACCUAGUCUUCGGUGGAUAGGGGUUCUGAGAGGAAGGUCCCCCACAUUGGAACUGAGACACGGUCCAAACUCCUACGGGAGGCAGCAGUGAGGAAUAUUGGUCAAUGGGCGAGAGCCUGAACCAGCCAAGUAGCGUGAAGGAUGACUGCCCUAUGGGUUGUAAACUUCUUUUAUAAAGGAAUAAAGUCGGGUAUGCAUACCCGUUUGCAUGUACUUUAUGAAUAAGGAUCGGCUAACUCCGUGCCAGCAGCCGCGGUAAUACGGAGGAUCCGAGCGUUAUCCGGAUUUAUUGGGUUUAAAGGGAGCGUAGAUGGAUGUUUAAGUCAGUUGUGAAAGUUUGCGGCUCAACCGUAAAAUUGCAGUUGAUACUGGAUAUCUUGAGUGCAGUUGAGGCAGGCGGAAUUCGUGGUGUAGCGGUGAAAUGCUUAGAUAUCACGAAGAACUCCGAUUGCGAAGGCAGCCUGCUAAGCUGCAACUGACAUUGAGGCUCGAAAGUGUGGGUAUCAAACAGGAUUAGAUACCCUGGUAGUCCACACGGUAAACGAUGAAUACUCGCUGUUUGCGAUAUACAGCAAGCGGCCAAGCGAAAGCGUUAAGUAUUCCACCUGGGGAGUACGCCGGCAACGGUGAAACUCAAAGGAAUUGACGGGGGCCCGCACAAGCGGAGGAACAUGUGGUUUAAUUCGAUGAUACGCGAGGAACCUUACCCGGGCUUAAAUUGCAGAUGAAUUACGGUGAAAGCCGUAAGCCGCAAGGCAUCUGUGAAGGUGCUGCAUGGUUGUCGUCAGCUCGUGCCGUGAGGUGUCGGCUUAAGUGCCAUAACGAGCGCAACCCUUGUUGUCAGUUACUAACAGGUUCCGCUGAGGACUCUGACAAGACUGCCAUCGUAAGAUGUGAGGAAGGUGGGGAUGACGUCAAAUCAGCACGGCCCUUACGUCCGGGGCUACACACGUGUUACAAUGGGGGGUACAGAGGGCCGCUACCACGCGAGUGGAUGCCAAUCCCCAAAACCUCUCUCAGUUCGGACUGGAGUCUGCAACCCGACUCCACGAAGCUGGAUUCGCUAGUAAUCGCGCAUCAGCCACGGCGCGGUGAAUACGUUCCCGGGCCU
This 1358-nucleotide ribosomal RNA is filed under the name uncultured bacterium. Its description in RNAcentral is "bacterial SSU rRNA". It matches the Rfam family "Bacterial small subunit ribosomal RNA", at positions 28 to 1381 of the family's 1533-position model. The record is from RNAcentral.